GCCUACGGGGGGCAGCAGUGGGGGAUAUUGCACAAUGGGGGAAACCCUGAUGCAGCGACGCCGCGGGUGGGAAGACGGUCCUCUGGAUUGUAAACCACUGUCCCCAGGGACGAAAAUGACGGUACCUGGGGAGGCGGCUCCGGCUAACUACGUGCCAGCAGCCGCGGUGAUACGUAGGUGGCAAGCGUUGUCCGGAUUUACUGGGUGUAAAGGGCGUGCAGCCGGAGAGACAAGUCAGAUGUGA
RNAcentral lists this ribosomal RNA (244 nucleotides) under uncultured bacterium. RNAcentral's name for it is "partial 16S ribosomal RNA". It matches the Rfam family "Bacterial small subunit ribosomal RNA", at positions 337 to 597 of the family's 1533-position model. The record is from RNAcentral.